RNAcentral lists this ribosomal RNA (253 nucleotides) under uncultured bacterium. Its description in RNAcentral is "partial 16S ribosomal RNA". It matches the Rfam family "Bacterial small subunit ribosomal RNA", at positions 524 to 776 of the family's 1533-position model. The record is from RNAcentral.
UACAGAGGGGGCAAGCGUUAUUCGGAAUUAUUGGGCGUAAAGGGCGCGUAGGCGGCCUGGCAAGUGGAUGGUGAAAUCCCUCGGCUUAACCGAGGAACUGCCAUCCAGACUGCUUGGCUUGAGACCGGGAGAGGUGAGUGGAAUUCCCAGUGUAGCGGUGAAAUGCGUAGAUAUCAGGAGGAACACCGGUGGUGUAGACGGCUUUCUGGACCGUAACUGACGCUGAGACACGAAAGCGUGGGUAGCAAACAGG